AGGUAAGCUACUAAGAGCGAAUGGUGGAUGCCUUGACUGGUAAAGGCGAUGAAGGACGUACUAGACUGCGAUAAGCUACGGGGAGCUGUCAAGAAGCUUUGAUCCGUAGAUUUCCGAAUGGGGCAACCCAAUGUAUAGAGAUAUACAUUACCUAUAUAGGAGCGAACGAGGGGAAUUGAAACAUCUUAGUACCCUCAGGAAAAGAAAUCAAUAGAGAUUGCGUCAGUAGCGGCGAGCGAAAGCGCAAGAGGGCAAACCCAGUGCUUGCACUGGGGGUUGUAGGACUGCAAUGUGCAAGAGCUGAGUUUAGCAGAACAUUCUGGAAAGUAUAGCCAUAGAGGGUGAUAGUCCCGUAUGCGAAAAACAAAGCUUAGCUAGCAGUAUCCUGAGUAGGGCGGGACACGAGGAAUCCUGUCUGAAUCCGGGUCGACCACGAUCCAACCCUAAAUACUAAUACCAGAUCGAUAGUGCACAAGUACCGUGAGGGAAAGGUGAAAAGAACUGAGGUGAUCAGAGUGAAAUAGAACCUGAAACCAUUUGCUUACAAUCAUUCAGAGCACUAUGUAGCAAUACAGUGUGAUGGACUGCCUUUUGCAUAAUGAGCCUGCGAGUUGUGGUGUCUGGCAAGGUUAAGCAAACGCGAAGCCGUAGCGAAAGCGAGUCUGAAUAGGGCGCUUAGUCAGAUGCUGCAGACCCGAAACGAAGUGAUCUAUCCAUGAGCAAGUUGAAGCUAGUGUAAGAACUAGUGGAGGACUGAACCCAUAGGCGUUGAAAAGCCCCGGGAUGACUUGUGGAUAGGGGUGAAAGGCCAAUCAAACUUCGUGAUAGCUGGUUCUCUCCGAAAUAUAUUUAGGUAUAGCGUUGUGUCGUAAUAUAAGGGGGUAGAGCACUGAAUGGGCUAGGGCAUACACCAAUGUACCAAACCCUAUCAAACUCCGAAUACCUUAUAUGUAAUCACAGCAGUCAGGCGGCGAGUGAUAAAAUCCGUCGUCAAGAGGGAAACAACCCAGACUACCAGCUAAGGUCCCUAAAUCUUACUUAAGUGGAAAACGAUGUGAAGUUACUUAAACAACCAGGAGGUUGGCUUAGAAGCAGCCAUCCUUUAAAGAAAGCGUAAUAGCUCACUGGUCUAGUGAUUUUGCGCGGAAAAUAUAACGGGGCUAAAGUAAGUACCGAAGCUGUAGACUUGCGCACAACUUAGAUUAUUUAAGUUUAGAAUAUGAGAAACUAAGUUAUGUUUAGUUAUAUUUUUACUGAUUUUUAUAGAGUAAAGAUAGAAAUAAAACUUAGUAAAAUCAGUAAAAAUAUUCUUAGGCUAAAGUUAAGUAGUUUAAGUUGUGUGCAAGUGGUAGGAGAGCGUUCUAUUUGCGUCGAAGGUAUACCGGUAAGGAGUGCUGGAGCGAAUAGAAGUGAGCAUGCAGGCAUGAGUAGCGAUAAUUAAUGUGAGAAUCAUUAACGCCGUAAACCCAAGGUUUCCUACGCGAUGCUCGUCAUCGUAGGGUUAGUCGGGUCCUAAGUCGAGUCCGAAAGGGGUAGACGAUGGCAAAUUGGUUAAUAUUCCAAUACCAACAUUAGUGUGCGAUGGAAGGACGCUUAGGGCUAAGGGGGCUAGCGGAUGGAAGUGCUAGUCUAAGGUCGUAGGAGGUUAUACAGGCAAAUCCGUAUAACAAUACUCCGAGAACUGAAAGGCUUUUUGAAGUCUUCGGAUGGAUAGAAGAACCCCUGAUGCCGUCGAGCCAAGAAAAGUUUCUAAGUUUAGCUAAUGUUGCCCGUACCGUAAACCGACACAGGUGGGUGGGAUGAGUAUUCUAAGGCGCGUGGAAGAACUCUCUUUAAGGAACUCUGCAAAAUAGCACCGUAUCUUCGGUAUAAGGUGUGGUUAGCUUUGUAUUAGGAUUUACUCCGAAAGCAAGGAAACUUACAACAAAGAGUCCCUCCCGACUGUUUACCAAAAACACAGCACUCUGCUAACUCGUAAGAGGAUGUAUAGGGUGUGACGCCUGCCCGGUGCUCGAAGGUUAAUUGAUGGGGUUAGCAUUAGCGAAGCUCUUGAUCGAAGCCCGAGUAAACGGCGGCCGUAACUAUAACGGUCCUAAGGUAGCGAAAUUCCUUGUCGGUUAAAUACCGACCUGCAUGAAUGGCGUAACGAGAUGGGAGCUGUCUCAAAGAGGGAUCCAGUGAAAUUGUAGUGGAGGUGAAAAUUCCUCCUACCCGCGGCAAGACGGAAAGACCCCGUGGACCUU
RNAcentral lists this ribosomal RNA (2243 nucleotides) under Campylobacter jejuni. Its description in RNAcentral is "partial 23S ribosomal RNA". It matches the Rfam family "Bacterial large subunit ribosomal RNA", at positions 1 to 2101 of the family's 2925-position model. The record is from RNAcentral. Lineage: Bacteria; Pseudomonadati; Campylobacterota; Epsilonproteobacteria; Campylobacterales; Campylobacteraceae.